CCCCCGAUGGUCUAGUUGGUUCAUGGCGUCUGACUGUAAAUCAGAAAGUCACCAGUUCGAUUCUGGUUCGGGGGA
Molecule: transfer RNA, 75 nt
Filed under: Aspergillus luchuensis IFO 4308
Lineage: Eukaryota; Fungi; Ascomycota; Eurotiomycetes; Eurotiales; Aspergillaceae
Description: tRNA-Tyr (GTA) (tRNA-Tyr-GTA-2 1 to 3)
Rfam family: tRNA
About the family: Transfer RNA (tRNA) molecules are approximately 80 nucleotides in length. Their secondary structure includes four short double-helical elements and three loops (D, anti-codon, and T loops). Further hydrogen bonds mediate the characteristic L-shaped molecular structure. tRNAs have two regions of fundamental functional importance: the anti-codon, which is responsible for specific mRNA codon recognition, and the 3' end, to which the tRNAs corresponding amino acid is attached (by aminoacyl-tRNA synthetases). tRNAs cope with the degeneracy of the genetic code in two manners: having more than one tRNA (with a specific anti-codon) for a particular amino acid; and 'wobble' base-pairing, i.e. permitting non-standard base-pairing at the 3rd anti-codon position.
Source: RNAcentral